CUCGCGAUCAAUUCGCAGUUCGAACAGCUCGAUGGAAUCGUGCGCGAGUUGUCAGGAUAAUUGCAAGAAGGACGCACGAUGGAGAAGGACGGUUUUUCGAGCUGCUGUUUCAUCAUUUAAAAUCCCGGUCGGUGAUUAAUUAUAUCUGAUUAAAGCCAUCAAAGUUCACAGAGAAUCAGUAAGAUAAAUAAAGCCAUAUUCGCGGAAGGUACGGCUUCAAGAUUCUUCGAGAUCCUUUCGAACAUCGUAACGUUCGUCCCGUUUCGAAACCAAACAUUUCUGAGAUGGCAAAGCUUCGUUGGAAUCCCAAGAAAUUUCCGCAAAAAAUCUCAUCGCUUCCGAUGUGCAUCGUUGAAAAUUAUUUUAGGCUGUUUCGCAAAGUGUUAUCACUCAUUUGUAGAAACAAAAUGGACAAACAAAGAUGGACCGGUGAUUCGUCUGGGCGCAGAUCAUCGAAAGCACACAAAGUACACGAAGAAUGGGAAUACAUCUCCAUACUUUUAUCACGGAAUUAAUUCAACUGCGAUUCUGCGUUUUCGGAUAAAAAAUUUAGGAAUUUGUUCACACCGAGGCAAACGAACAUCAGACAAAUUAAUCUUGAAAAAAUCCAGCUUCCAAUUAAUCUUUCGAAAUUCAUCGUUGAACGGGGUGAAAUCAAUCGAAUAUCAAUAAGCCAUGAUCAAUAUAUUCCGUGAUCCUUAAAGAUCUACCAAUUUCAUUAAGGAUAUGGGAUUUCCGGCUUCCCUUGAUUUCUGAUCGAUUUUCAUUUGGAAAUUCAUUGGACAGCUUCGAUUUUGAGUUAUCAUGAUGUUCGUGGUAAUUCCGCGAAUUUUUGUCGCUAUCUUUGCGAAUCUUGUUCUUGGUAGUGAAAUCGUCGAUGCAGAUUUUUUGGCUAAAAUUUCUUAGACACUUUUUAUCACCUUCGUUGAACGGGUUUCCAAAGCCUUCUUGCGAAUUUUUUUUUGUUUAAAAGGAAAAUUGACUGACAAGAAUUUAUUUAGUGUAAUUUUAUGCAGUUCUAUUUUUUCGUCUGAAUUUAUUAAACUUGAUGAAGUUAAUUUCCGUACAAGUAUCAACGAGAAAAUAUCGGUUAUUUAAUUAUCAUUACAGAACGAAUAAUUUAUUAUUAAUAAUGAUUGUGAAUUGAUGGUGGUCGAGCGAAAUUUGUGAUGCAAAUCACGGUUCAUGACGUCUCUUUUAGUGGUAAAUCAAUAAGCAAAAAAGUAUUUUCUGUUUACAAUACAGUCGAUAUAAUUACUAAUAAUUCUUCUGAAAUACUUGCACGUUAUUUAACUUAAUUAUUUUUAGUAAAUUCGGUGGGAAGAUAGAAUCGUAUUAAAAUAUACUAAUAUAAAUUCUAAUGAAACUUAGAUAACAAAUAUAUUAACGAUGGCUAAUUUGCAAAAUGUUAAUGAACUUUGGGUAAUAAGUAGAAUACAUGAUUAAUAAAGAUCAUUAUUUUGCAAAAUUUCUGAUUUACGAGAUCUGACUGGAAAUUUCAAUUGCGCAAGAAAUUUACAGCCACCUCUCGUAAAUCUACUGUGUUAGUAAGAAUGUGUUAAAAAUCGGUAUACUGUGUUCGCGACAUCGAUAAUCUUAAGUUAUGAAAAAGGGACAGUUUACUAGUCACGUUCGAAGUUUUACUAGUCAAUAGUUGUAUUUUAAUAAUAGUGUCCGCGUGAAAAUUUGUAAUGCAAAUAGUCGUUUGUUACGUAUCUUUCCAGUAAAUCGACGUACAAAAAAGGGAGUUUUAUUUUCAGUGAAAUAGGAAUGGAAUGAAACAACGAUUCGGAUAUCUUUUAUUCUAUUUUAUAUCAUGAUUUAAUACUUUCUUUUUAUUGCAUUAACAUUUUCUUGAUGUUUCUAAAUAGUUGAUGCAUUCUAUUAUUUUUAUCCUUUUUUAUGAUGUGAUUUUUUUUUUAUUGAUUGAAAAGAUCAAUUUUAUUAUUGUAACUUUAAUCCUUUAUCACGAAAUUAUUGCUUGAUUCCAUUCUUCAAUGUUAUUCUUCUUGUUAGUCGUACAUGUAGAAAGAGAUCACAGAUUUGUACAAAUUAAUUAAUUAUUGUAAAAUGCCGACUAUUGUAAGAUUAUGCGAUGAUUGGUUUUAAGUUAGGUUAAUUGAAGAAUUAGGUUGUAACGAUUAAUUUGUAAUUGUAAAUUAAGUACACAUCCAUCAUUGUUGUAAUACAAUUCCCUUAAAAAACCUUUGGUACAAGUUGAUAGCACUAUGAUUAAUGUUCGAAGGAAGAGAUUGUGUAUACUAUCCACUUUAUGUAUUGUACAUUUCAUUGUCUAUGUUUUAUUAUUACGAAGUAGCUGAAAACUUAUGAAACAAAUAUACACGAAUCCUGUUAA
This is a long non-coding RNA of Osmia bicornis bicornis, 2356 nucleotides long. RefSeq lists it as uncharacterized. The record is from RefSeq and is a predicted model, not a curated record. The transcript is spliced from 3 exons. Lineage: Eukaryota; Metazoa; Arthropoda; Insecta; Hymenoptera; Megachilidae.